RNAcentral lists this unclassified non-coding RNA (410 nucleotides) under Arabidopsis thaliana (thale cress). Lineage: Eukaryota; Viridiplantae; Streptophyta; Magnoliopsida; Brassicales; Brassicaceae. The record is from RNAcentral.
CAAAAAUGGAGACGACACAACUUCGAAGAGAAAUCAACUCGAAAUAGCCAAGAGAAUGUUCGAAAACCCCCUCAAAUCCGAUGCUUCCUUUGAUUCCAACCUCCAAAAGCCCAUCUGCUCAAAUCUCCAUUUCGAGGACGAGGACUCGAGGAGUAUUACAAGGUACCUCUAUAGAAUCAAUGGCUUCAAUGGAUUUUGAAACUUUACUUCUAAUAAACACCAUUGUAAUGUUUUGUUGUGAAAUUGUGUAAGGAACAAAGGAUAGUGAAAGCUGAAGAGUGGGAUUCGUUUAUGGAGUUUCAGAGUAAGCCAUUACCUUUCAGAGUUUUUUUGCUUAUUUUAGAAUGCAAAUGACGUUGCUUCUAAAUAUUAUUUCUUCUCAAUCAUUCAUGCUCUGUUUUCCUCUCUUC